Molecule: ribosomal RNA, 450 nt
Filed under: uncultured bacterium
Lineage: Bacteria
Description: bacterial SSU rRNA
Rfam family: Bacterial small subunit ribosomal RNA
Source: RNAcentral
GUGGGGAAUUUUGGACAAUGGGCGCAAGCCUGAUCCAGCAAUGCCGCGUGUGUGAAGAAGGCCUUCGGGUUGUAAAGCACUUUUGUCAGGAACGAAACAGUGUCCGCUAAUACCGGGCGCGAAUGACGGUACCUGAAGAAUAAGCACCGGCUAACUACGUGCCAGCAGCCGCGGUAAUACGUAGGGUGCGAGCGUUAAUCGGAAUUACUGGGCGUAAAGCGUGCGCAGGCGGCUUUGUAAGACGGAUGUGAAAGCCCCGGGCUCAACCUGGGAAGUGCAUUCGUGACUGCAAGGCUAGAGUGCGUCAGAGGGAGGUGGAAUUCCGCGUGUAGCAGUGAAAUGCGUAGAGAUGCGGAGGAACACCGAUGGCGAAGGCAGCCUCCUGGGAUGACACUGACGCUCAUGCACGAAAGCGUGGGGAGCAAACAGGAUUAGAUACCCGAGUAGUCC